RNAcentral lists this ribosomal RNA (406 nucleotides) under uncultured bacterium. Its description in RNAcentral is "partial 16S ribosomal RNA". It matches the Rfam family "Bacterial small subunit ribosomal RNA", at positions 28 to 526 of the family's 1533-position model. The record is from RNAcentral.
GACGAACGCUGGCGGCGUGCCUAAUACAUGCAAGUCGAGCGAGUGGCGGACGGGUGAGUAAUGUCUGGGAAACUGCCUGAUGGAGGGGGAUAACUACUGGAAACGGUAGCUAAUACCGCAUACCAUCAGAUGUGCCCAUAUGGGAUUAGCUUGUUGGUGGGGUAACGGCUCACCAAGGCGACGAUCCCUAGCUGGUCUGAGAGGAUGACCAGCCACACUGGAACUGAGACACGGUCCAGACUCCGACGGGAGGCAGCAGUGGGGAAUAUUGCACAAUGGGCGCAAGCCUGAUGCAGCCAUGCCGCGUGUAUGAAGAAGGCCUUCGGGUUGUAAAGUACUUUCAGCGGGGAGGCGUUACCCGCAGAAGAAGCACCGGCUAACUCCGUGCCAGCAGCCGCGGUAAUAC